AGAGUUUGAUCCUGGCUCAGGAUGAACGCUUAGCGGCAGGCCUAACACAUGCAAGUCGAGGGGCAUCACGGAAAAGCUUGCUUUUCCGGUGGCGACCGGCGCACGGGUGAGGAGCACGUAUGGAACCUGCCCCUGUCAGGGGAAUAGCCCAGGGAAACUUGGAUUAAUGCCCCAUGGUACCGGGACAUCGCAUGAUGUCUUGGUUAAAGAUUUAUCGGACAGGGAUGGCCAUGCGCACCAUUAGCUUGUUGGGGGGGUAACGGCCCACCAAGGCUACGAUGGUUAGGGGCCCUGAGAGGGGGAUCCCCCACACUGGUACUGAGACACGGACCAGACUCCUACGGGAGGCAGCAGUGAGGAAUAUUGGACAAUGGCCGGGAGGCUGAUCCAGCCAUGCCGCGUGCAGGAUGACCGCCCUAUGGGUCGUAAACUGCUUUUGUACGGGAAGAAACCCCCCCCACGUGUGGGGGGCUGACGGUCCCGUAAAAAUAAGGAUCGGCUAACUCCGUGCCAGCACCGGCGGUAAUUC
Molecule: ribosomal RNA, 529 nt
Filed under: uncultured Allomuricauda sp.
Lineage: Bacteria; Pseudomonadati; Bacteroidota; Flavobacteriia; Flavobacteriales; Flavobacteriaceae
Description: uncultured Muricauda sp. partial 16S ribosomal RNA
Rfam family: Bacterial small subunit ribosomal RNA
Source: RNAcentral